Drosophila melanogaster (fruit fly) is the source of this 87-nucleotide non-coding RNA. The record is from Ensembl. Lineage: Eukaryota; Metazoa; Arthropoda; Insecta; Diptera; Drosophilidae.
UGUAUGUACUUGUCGGCACUGGAGUACUAAAUAUAUUGCACAUGUUCAUGCAUGUUCAACAUAUUUAGCACUCAAGUACCGAAAAAU